This is a long non-coding RNA of Ictalurus punctatus (channel catfish), 804 nucleotides long. The record is from Ensembl. Lineage: Eukaryota; Metazoa; Chordata; Actinopteri; Siluriformes; Ictaluridae.
CUGACCACAGACUCCCCCUCCUGUUGGCGUGGCAUGGCGUAGUCCUUCAUGAACAUGGGAGGGCAUAAUAAACACCUAUUUUGAUUGAGUAUCUGGACUCUCUCAACUUCUUCAAGGUGGAAUUUUCACCACCAGAAAUGUUUCUGUUCAUCCGGGAUAGCGAAGGGUUGCUUGGGCAAGGAGGAGUGGAGAGGCAGAGGAAAAGGAAAGGAAUUAGGUAACCCAGUGCCUAGUCCUCUUCUGAUAACAAGACAGUGGAUGCGGGCUAACGCCUUUCCAAUAUCUAGGUAACCUGAACGCCCAUGAGGUUGAAUAUUCAGGAGAUGCUUUAAGACUGCUAUGUAGUAUUGUAAUAUUUAACAGCUAGAGUGAGGAACCCUGAACACCCAUUGAGGGGUUGCAUGGAAAGGGGUGCAGUUUGCUCACUCCUGCAAGACGCUGCAAGGGGCCUAUGUGAAACUCUUGCAGGAGAACCAUCUCAACUGAUAAAACCCCUGUUUAAACAACACCCAGAUGAUAAAGACAAUCAGAUGAAGUAUUGCUAACCCCUCUCUCUGAUUAUCCCACAGCACUCCUACAAGGUGUAAAACCACAAGGGGCAGAAGAUAGAGAUCAGAAUUAUGAAGAUCAAGUUCGACUGGAUUAUUUUUUACAUUGGGAGGUCGGAUAAUGUAAUCAUUUGUUGUGUACUUCUCGGGGGACUUUAACUUAUUCCUGUCCUACGCUGUAAUUUUUACAGACUGCAUGUUCUUAUGUCUGGAAAGACCUUGCUACAAAAGGACCUGAGGAAAUAAACCUUGACCU